Molecule: ribosomal RNA, 253 nt
Filed under: uncultured bacterium
Lineage: Bacteria
Description: partial 16S ribosomal RNA
Rfam family: Bacterial small subunit ribosomal RNA
Source: RNAcentral
UACGUAGGGUCCGAGCGUUGUCCGGAAUCAUUGGGCGUAAAGAGCGUGUAGGCGGCUUGCUAAGUCUUGCGUGAAAUCUCGGGGCUCAACCCCGAGCGGUCGUGGGAAACUGGCAGGCUAGAGUGCGGGAGAGGAGAAUGGAAUUUCUGGUGUAGCGGUGAGAUGCGCAGAUAUCAGGAAGAACACCCGUGGCGAAGGCGGCUUACUGGUCCGGUUCUGACGCUGAGGCGCGAAAGCGUGGGGAGCAAACAGG